Non-coding RNA from Microcebus murinus (gray mouse lemur), 1624 nucleotides. The record is from RefSeq and is a predicted model, not a curated record. Lineage: Eukaryota; Metazoa; Chordata; Mammalia; Primates; Cheirogaleidae.
AAGAGCAGGAUUAGAAUCAAGUGCAUUUUUUGUUUUUAAAAAGAAUAGCGGAUCGAAUGGUGCGCAAUGGGAACUAAAGCUGCUGAGUGCCCGCGGGACAAACGAUCGUCAGGUCAGUCGCCUGCAGCCGGCACUGUCUCAGCGGCCAGUAUCUGCUAUUCUGGUGGUCUUCUCUUUUCUGCUGGUUUCUCUACCAUAAGGAUUGUACAGUAAGCUAAAAAAAAAAAAAAAAGACAUCUGGGCUACCCACUUCAGCCGACUAUUUAAUAUUACAAUACUAAGUGUAGUAGUGUAUCACAAUAACCAAAUAAGCAGUGUCAGCAUCUGUUAUCAGGAUCUGUUAUCAGGAUCGUUGCAAAACGAGAUCAGAACCAUCCACUUAUUGGCCUGACUCACCAUACACAUCCUCUGGCCGGAUUUGUCUGGCGUUUGCCUCCCUCAGCAGAUGCCUUGUUCUAACUGGUCCACACUGCAGAAUCCAGGGUGUGAUGCAGGAGAUUGUCAAAGUAUCCGGAAACUUUUCAAAUGAACAAGAAUGAACGACAAAAAUGAAAAUAGCAAAACUCUCUCCUGACUCACUCAAAAACGAGUGAAUGAGGCAAAGCCUACCAGUGCAGACAGAAACAAUAGUGCUACAGAAGAGACAAAGGAAAGGAAAUCUGCAGUGGUGUUAAUCUGUAGUAAUGGGGCACCAUAUUUGCCAUGAUUGUUGCAAGGAGAUACAGAAAAAGAGGCUCUGAAGAAUGGAUUGGUAGGUCAGUUUCGUGCAACGUUCAUUAUCAGUCUUUCCAAGUAUCAGGAGAGGAAAAAUUCAAAACGCACACCUUGGUUGUGGUACUUAUCCCUGCCUUAUCAGUAGCAGGUGAACCGCAUUAUUUCCAGAAGAAACAGACCAAUGUCAGGAUUCACUCACUGACCAGCCACAUCAAACCAACUUUCAGCACUGUUGCCAAGUUCCAUAAGAAGAUGCUCCAAGAUGUGUUACUGAGAGCAAAAAGCCUCAUUGUUUGAAAGUAAUCUCCCCAACUGCCUGCUCCACAACCCCCAAGGUCUUCCAGCAGACACAUAAAAUACAUAAUUUCCAUUUCCGUAUGUGGCUUGGAAUGCUUAUUGUCAUCACGCUAUUGUGUCUGCUGCAAACAUUUGUGUUCUGAAAGAAUAAUGACUUACAGCUCCUUAGGAGGCAUGAGGGACCCAAGGCCUCUGUCUCUUCCCACCUGCUGUGCGCUGUCACCUCCACUUCCUUCCAUCCCGAGAAGCUUUGGGAUUGCAGUGAGUCCACAGGUGAACAUCUCUCUACUAUACCAGGGAUGCAACGUUUAGUUCAUCCCAAGCCCAGCACAGAAAGGGGACUCAGACAGGGUAGCCUCAGAGGCACAUCCUUCCUUCCUUCCUCACCUCCGUGGGCUACAGCGGACCCAGUGACAAGGGGAGAGACAAAGGAGAGGGAGAAGGUCAGGGAGGUCUCUGUCUGGAGCCAGCAGGGCAAUGCUACCCUUAAUCCUGAGGCCCCCAAAACUCCCUACUCCGUCUGCCUGCCAGGAUCCCAAAUGCUGCCAGCCGUUCCACUGCACCAAGACGCUUGUUCCCUACAUUUCUUCAUUAAAUAAAUGAAUAAAAAUCA